RNAcentral lists this long non-coding RNA (213 nucleotides) under Solanum melongena (eggplant). Its description in RNAcentral is "long non-coding RNA (SMEL_LNC000143)". Lineage: Eukaryota; Viridiplantae; Streptophyta; Magnoliopsida; Solanales; Solanaceae. The record is from RNAcentral.
AUGAACGAAAAGCGAGAUAAGCAUGCUAUUUUCAAAUUGAUUGAUAGAUAGCCUGAUCUGUUCUGAUAGAUCGAAAGAGAUAGAGAGGGAAUCUCUCAAGAAUAGGGGGAAAUCUCCUAUUUCUAUCUAUUGAUGAGACAACUAUCUAUUCUUGAUCCAUCAGAAAGAAAUUGAUGUAUAUUUGAUGGAGUCUACAUCGUACGUAGAGUGCCC